AUUGAACGCUGGCGGUAUGCCUUACACAUGCAAGUCGAACGGUAGAGGGGCAACCCUUGAGAGUGGCGAACGGGUGAGUAAUACAUCGGAACGUGCCCAGUCGGGGGGGAUAACGUAGCGAAAGCUACGCUAAUACCGCAUACGACCUGAGGGUGAAAGCGGGGGAUCGCAAGACCUCGCGCGAUUGGAGCGGCCGAUGGCAGAUUAGGGAGUUGGUGGGGGAAAGGCCUACCAAGCCUGCGAUCUGUAGCUGGUCUGAGAGGACGACCAGCCACACUGGGACUGAGACACGGCCCAGACUCCUACGGGAGGCAGCAGUGGGGAAUUUUGGACAAUGGGCGAAAGCUUGAUCCAGCCAUACCGCGUGCGGGAAGAAGGCCUUCGGGUUGUAAACCGCUUUUGUCAGGGAAGAAAUCUUCUGGGUUAAUACCUCGGGAGGAUGACGGUACCUGAAGAAUAAGCACCGGCUAACUACGUGCCAGCAGCCGCGGUAA
Molecule: ribosomal RNA, 494 nt
Filed under: uncultured bacterium
Lineage: Bacteria
Description: partial 16S ribosomal RNA
Rfam family: Bacterial small subunit ribosomal RNA
Source: RNAcentral